CUCAGGGAAUCAACGUGGAAACUGGACUUCCACUUCUCAGCUUCAACUGGAGCUGGGAAGCGUUAGCCUCUUAGAAGAGCCUUGGGGAAAUCUCAGGCCAGCUGCUGUGUGGUGUGUGAGGGAGGAGGUGUCAGGCCUGGAAGCUCCACAGGCCUCUGCUCCAGACACUCAGUGCAGUCACGCCUUGGCAGGGGAAGCAGCAGCCCUGAGAACACCCGCCCUCCCCUCCUAGCAGCCACCAGGAGGUGGGAUUUAAAAGGAAUCUGACCCUGUUAAGACUGAGGGGAUGAUCUGGGUCUGGUGCAGAGCAGCUUUGGGGUAUUAAUGACGGCACGUUCCACAGGGGAAACUUGUCUAUUUCAUUUAUUUGCAAUAAAAUAUAUGAGAUGAACAUCUGCAGGCAGCUUAUGCGUUGUCAUAUUCAGAGGUAAUUCAGGCAUGUGAUGGGAGGGAUUUGUGAAUUUUCUGUUGUUAUGAGUUCUAGGCCCUAUGGAAUCAUUUGGCCUCACUGUGGCAGCCCGGCAGGGAAGAGACAGUGCUCAUGGGCCCCUGUGAUGCCUCGUUAUGGAAUAAGCAGAAGUGACUGUGCAGCCGAGACCUAACAAUAUCUGCACUGAAUUCCUAUUAUGUAAGAAAGGCUUUCUAGUCCCUGCCAGUGUCGGGAUGUGGUGGUUGGUUUUCAAUAAAGGUCAGAAUCGGUGCCACACUGAAUAGAGCUAAAAGUGUGUUUCAUUCUUUUGUAGGCCACGGGCACUGUUGGGGAUUGAUCUGAAAAUCUGGUCUGUUGCAGGCCUUUGCUCUCCGGGGAGAUUAAUAUUUUAGCUAUUCCUUUUUGUUCAGUGCUUCUAAAUGUAUUUGGAAUGAAAAGAAAG
RNAcentral lists this long non-coding RNA (872 nucleotides) under Fukomys damarensis (Damara mole-rat). RNAcentral's name for it is "lncRNA (ENSFDAG00000033079.1)". The record is from RNAcentral. Lineage: Eukaryota; Metazoa; Chordata; Mammalia; Rodentia; Bathyergidae.